CUCUGUUCCUUCUCUUCUCCUCUCUGUUUAUCCUGAUCUCAUAUAUUUGAGUUCUUUUGUGUGAGAGUUUCAUAAAAACCUUGUUAGUUUGUUGAAUUGAGAGAGAAGGUGAUGCUGCUGCUAUCGAUUGAGUUUUGGAAGAAGCGGAAAAGGGUGAUUUGACUAAAUGGGAAAAGAUAUCAGCGUCGUUGAUGUUGAAGAAGUGUGAGAAAAGACUAAUUGCAAAGUGCACGUUACAAGGGGAUUACACAUAAAGUUGAACCAAUUGGCUAAUUUCUUAGAGUGCUCGCAUAAAGUUUAAUCAAGCUACGUAUAUCCCUUGAGUCCGUGACCUAUGAGAAAGAAGAGUUGGGGUGUUAGACUUGUUAAAUCAAGUUGAACCAAUUGGGCGUGUAAAGAAAAGAUCUGCCAUUAAAGCCCAUAAGAGAAGUAACCAGUUCUUUCCAUGCGUACACCCCUAUCUCUUACCUUCUUUUCUUCCAUUGUCUGGUAACCCCAUUCCUCUUUGCUUUCAAACCACCAACAUCAUCGCCACUCUCGGCCUCUCUGUACUGCUACCCAUCUCUAUCUUUUCUUUUCAUUAUCCCUGUCAAAAACAUCAUCUGGCUGCUUUUUGUUUCUCUUGACCCCAUUUAACCUAGCCCUAGAGUACGAAUUGAACAAUCAGUAGGAUGGCUAUGAUGAAACAAGCAGCAGGGUUUGUCAAACUAAAGGUCCGGAUUCUAAAUUCUCUGCAACACCGACAACAUCAGAUCAUUUUGGAAGACAAUAGGGUGGCGGUUCAGUGGUGAGUUGUUAUCAUAUCAAAUCCCUAAUUUUUGCUCUUGUAAUUGUUGACUAUGGGGAUUGAUUGAUAAUUGAGGGGAUCUUUUGUAUAAAUAGAAGACGCUGUUGUGGAUGGAAAAAACAAGUCCGGAGUAGCCGGUGCAUGCUGUAGUUUUGGGUUUGUUUCAAUUUUACUCAUGUUCUAAAAACCUCUGCUAGGGCAGAGAUGAAACUUCCUUUAGUAAUUAUAAUUCCUCAUGUGUUGAUUUUACUUGUUUUUCUCUAUGGGAUUUCAAUGAAAAGCAUGAUUAAUUUCUGAA
This is a long non-coding RNA of Papaver somniferum (opium poppy), 1085 nucleotides long. RefSeq lists it as uncharacterized. The transcript has 2 exons. NCBI's taxonomy places the organism in Eukaryota, Viridiplantae, Streptophyta, Magnoliopsida, Ranunculales, Papaveraceae. The record is from RefSeq and is a predicted model, not a curated record.